GUGAACGCUGGCGGUAGGCCUAACACAUGCAAGUCGAACGGCAGCACAGUAAGAGCUUGCUCUUACGGGUGGCGAGUGGCGGACGGGUGAGGAAUACAUCGGAAUCUACUUUUUCGUGGGGGAUAACGUAGGGAAACUUACGCUAAUACCGCAUACGACCUACGGGUGAAAGCAGGGGAUCUUCGGACCUUGCGCGAUUGAAUGAGCCGAUGUCGGAUUAGCUAGUUGGCGGGGUAAAGGCCCACCAAGGCGACGAUCCGUAGCUGGUCUGAGAGGAUGAUCAGCGACACUGGAACUGAGACACGGUCCAGACUCCUACGGGAGGCAGCAGUGGGGAAUAUUGGACAAUGGGCGCAAGCCUGAUCCAGCCAUACCGCGUGGGUGAAGAAGGCCUUCGGGUUGUAAAGCCCUUUUGUUGGGAAAGAAAAGCAGCAGGUUAAUACCCCGCUGUUCUGACGGUACCCAAAGAAUAAGCACCGGCUAACUUCGUG
Molecule: ribosomal RNA, 491 nt
Filed under: uncultured bacterium
Lineage: Bacteria
Description: partial 16S ribosomal RNA
Rfam family: Bacterial small subunit ribosomal RNA
Source: RNAcentral